UCCGUAAGUGGAUAAUUAAGUCAGAGGUGAAAUCCUGCAGCUCAACUGUAGAAUUGCCUUUGAUACUGUUGAUCUUGAGUCAUUAUGAAGUGGUUAGAAUGUGUAGUGUAGCGGUGAAAUGCAUAGAUAUUACACAGAAUACCGAUUGCGAAGGCAGAUCACUAAUAAUGUACUGACACUGAGGGACGAAAGCGUGGGGAGCGAACAGGAUUAGAUACCCUGGUAGUCC
This 229-nucleotide ribosomal RNA is filed under the name uncultured bacterium. RNAcentral's name for it is "partial 16S ribosomal RNA". It matches the Rfam family "Bacterial small subunit ribosomal RNA", at positions 568 to 796 of the family's 1533-position model. The record is from RNAcentral.